This 495-nucleotide long non-coding RNA is filed under the name Mus caroli (Ryukyu mouse). RNAcentral describes it as "lncRNA (MGP_CAROLIEiJ_G0006435.1)". Lineage: Eukaryota; Metazoa; Chordata; Mammalia; Rodentia; Muridae. The record is from RNAcentral.
CGCUGAGACUCCAGCUCUCCACUGAAGAUCUUGAGGUUAUCCCUUCUCUUCUUUCAAAUAAGUCACCAACCAAGCAAACAAAUAUAAUCACACCAACAGUGCGGAUGUGGCUGUUACUCAUACCUCAAAUGACUUCAGUGGAGUCAAGUUGCUACUGAUAAAAAGAGAAAACAAAGUAGAGCCAUCGAGACUGACUCAUGUCUUGUUGUUCAAGAGGCCUACUGGCAAUAAUGCCACCUCCUACUUCCUCUACACCGACCCUCAAUCCUGCCUGUCUGUUUCGGUGACUGUCUUGCUUCGCUGACUGCAGCAGUAUCCACCACAGUACCAGCCAGACUUUCUUCCCUCUUCAAAUCCACAUCAGAGCAGCUUCAAGUCGAAGAUCCAGGAUAAGAACCAGCAUCACGGCCUAGGCCCUUCUCCUUGUAACUGUUGUUGGGCAGUUUCUGUGGGUUUGGGGUUCCCCCUCCCCCACCAUGCUAAGUCCACCUUCCU